GACGAACGCUGGCGGCGUGCUUAACACAUGCAAGUCGAACGGAAAGGCCUGUCCUUCCUUGUGUUGGACGGGUACUCGAGUGGCGAACGGGUGAGUAACACGUGAGUGAUCUGCCCCCAACUUGGGUAUAAGCCUGGGAAACUGGGUCUAAUUCCCGAUAGGACUGCAGGGUGGUGCCUGUGGUGGAAAACGAUUUUCUAGUGGUUGGGGAUGAGCUCGCGGCCUAUCAGCUUGUUGGUGGGGUAAUGGCCUACCAAGGCGGCGACGGGUAGCCGGCCUGAGAGGGUGGACGGCCACAUUGGGACUGAGAUACGGCCCAGACACCUACGGGAGGCAGCAGUGGGGAAUAUUGCACAAUGGGCGGAAGCCUGAUGCAGCGACGCCGCGUGGGGGAUGACGGCCUUCGGGUUGUAAACUCCUUUCGACCGCGAGGAAGCCGCCUGGUUGGAAGGGUGGUGACGGUAGUGGUAGAAGAAGCACCGGCUAACUACGUG
Molecule: ribosomal RNA, 494 nt
Filed under: uncultured bacterium
Lineage: Bacteria
Description: partial 16S ribosomal RNA
Rfam family: Bacterial small subunit ribosomal RNA
Source: RNAcentral